This 495-nucleotide ribosomal RNA is filed under the name uncultured bacterium. RNAcentral's name for it is "partial 16S ribosomal RNA". It matches the Rfam family "Bacterial small subunit ribosomal RNA", at positions 28 to 507 of the family's 1533-position model. The record is from RNAcentral.
GAUGAACGCUGGCGGCGUGCUUAACACAUGCAAGUCGAACGAAGCACCUCUCCCGAAGAUUGACACAGCUUGCUGUAGAUUGAUUCAUUUGAGGUGACUGAGUGGCGGACGGGUGAGUAACGCGUGGGUAACCUGCCUCAUAGAGAGGGACAACAGUUGGAAACGACUGCUAAUACCGCAUAGUAAGAAGAAUUCGCAUGUUUUCUUCUUGAAAGAUUUAUCGCUAUGAGAUGGACCCGCGUCUGAUUAGCUAGUUGGUAAGGUAACGGCUUACCAAGGCGACGAUCAGUAGCCGGCUUGAGAGAGUGAACGGCCACAUUGGGACUGAGACACGGCCCAAACUCCUACGGGAGGCAGCAGUGGGGAAUAUUGCACAAUGGGGGAAACCCUGAUGCAGCGACGCCGCGUGAGUGAAGAAGUAUUUCGGUAUGUAAAGCUCUAUCAGCAGGGAAGAUAAUGACGGUACCUGACUAAGAAGCCCCGGCUAACUACGUG